Molecule: long non-coding RNA, 1097 nt
Filed under: Rattus norvegicus (Norway rat)
Lineage: Eukaryota; Metazoa; Chordata; Mammalia; Rodentia; Muridae
Description: long non-coding RNA NONRATT017592
Source: RNAcentral
AAAAGUCCUAGAGACCUAAGAGCAAGGAGUGAUUUGGAGAGAGAAUUAAAGCCAAGGAGUAUGAGUGAAAGGGUGGAAGAGAGAACCCACAAAAUACCAAAGACCAGCUACGCCCUACCAUGCUGGGACACCUUGCCUUCAAUUUAACAGAGUCUAUUGACUGUAAACUUGCUGCUUAUAUGUACGUGUGCUUAUGUCCGAUCCCUGGCACCCAGCGUCCUGGACAGAAAUAAAACUGGACUAUUUGGAAUAUUUUGGAAGUGUGCCCGAAUUGGCGAACGUAAGAGUCCUUAUGUCGCCAUAUGCUGUAUAGUGAUGGCCUUCAGCAUCCUCUUCAUACAGUAGCUUUGGAAACUACCAGCACGUGAUUGCCAUCAGACUGCACACAGGACUUGCCUCCAGAAAAUAACGGGGAGAAUGGUUACGCCUCUUGUCUCUGAACAUGGAAUGAGAUGAAUUUCGAGAUGCUGUUCUCUCUUUUUAUGCUAUUGGACCAACGGACUGUAUGAAUAAUCACGAUGUAACAGGAAAUACAUAGGAACGUGAUUGCAGCCAUCGACCUCGGUUCUCUCACUCCAGUAUUACGCUCUACAAACGUCAUCCUGUUACGCCAGGACUGCUUUUCCUAAGGUUCUCCAGGCACGAAGUAGAAACCCAGUGGCCAGUUCCACAGGCUUGCUUCUUUGACUAGGGCUUCAAAAUAAUGUCUUCACAUUGUGAUACCUUCUAGCGACUGGCCUAUUUUUACUUAGAAAAGAAAAUGGAUCUAUUUUUGUUGUUGCCAUUCUUAGGAAUUGCAUUCAUAUUUAAACCCUUUUGAUUGCUAACCAGAGUACCUCUAUUCUUGGCAAAUUCUGUACUUUAUUACAGGUGUUUAAAGUAGUUUAAACAAAACUCCAUUUCUUUAAUUAGCGUAAGAGUUGGACUUCUGGUCACAAAUGUAGAGCUGCCGUCCUACGAAGGAGAGUAUCUUAUAAUGACAAAAGCGGCAAGCAGAAUGAUGACUGAAUAUGCAUUAUACAUUUUUCGUUCUCUGUGGUGUUAAGUCUUCCAAAUAGAACAUCCAUUGUAGUUACCAAAAAAAAAAAAAAAAAAAA